UACGAAGGGGGCUAGCGUUGCUCGGAAUCACUGGGCGUAAAGGGUGCGUAGGCGGGUUUUUAAGUCAGGGGUGAAAUCCUGGAGCUCAACUCCAGAACUGCCUUUGAUACUGAAGAUCUUGAGUCCGGGAGAGGUGAGUGGAAUUCCUAGUGUAGAGGUGAAAUUCGUAGAUAUUAGGAAGAACACCAGUGGCGAAGGCGGCUCACUGGCCCGGUACUGACGCUGAGGCGCGAAAGCGUGGGGAGCAAACAGG
This 253-nucleotide ribosomal RNA is filed under the name uncultured bacterium. Its description in RNAcentral is "partial 16S ribosomal RNA". It matches the Rfam family "Bacterial small subunit ribosomal RNA", at positions 524 to 776 of the family's 1533-position model. The record is from RNAcentral.